RNAcentral lists this ribosomal RNA (379 nucleotides) under uncultured bacterium. RNAcentral's name for it is "bacterial SSU rRNA". It matches the Rfam family "Bacterial small subunit ribosomal RNA", at positions 790 to 1167 of the family's 1533-position model. The record is from RNAcentral.
GUAGUCCACGCUGUAAACGAUGGGUACUAGACUAAGUGGGAAUUGACCCCUGCUGAGUCGGAGCUAACGCAAUAAGUACCCCGCCUGGGAAGUACGGUCGCAAGACUAAAACUCAAAGGAAUUGACGGGGGCCCGCACAAGCGGUGGAUCAUGUGGUUUAAUUCGAAGCAACGCGAAAAACCUUACCUGGGUUUGACAUCCUUGGACCGCUGUAGAAAUACAGUUUUUGUAGCAAUACAACCAAGAGACAGGUGCUGCAUGGCUGUCGUCAGCUCGUGUGGUGACAUGUUGGGUUAAGUCCCGCAACGAGCGCAACCCUUGUCUUUAGUUGCCAGCAUUAAGUUGGGCACUCUAGAGAGACUGCCGUGGUUAACACGGA